UUGCCUACAGAUGGUGUGACAGGAGAUGUGUGCCCUGCAGGGACAUACUGCCCACCUGGGUCCCCUUUACCCAUCCCCUGUCCUCCAGGAACCUACAGCAAUGUGAGUGGGCUGAGAAGCCUUGGUCAGUGCUUGGACUGCCCACCUGGCCUUUAUUGUGAUGGGACAAAUACCCGAGCUCCCUCAGGACCGUGUGAGCCUGGAUACUACUGUACAGGAGGUGCCAAAAGUGCUCUUCAGCAUGUGGUCAUGGAAGGACAUUAUUCCUCAGCAGGAGCUUUCAAGCCAGAGCUGUGUCCUCUUGGCAGCUUCCAGCCUGACCGUGGUCAGUCUCAUUGCAGGGACUGUCCAGAGGGAGCAUUCUGCAAUGAGAUAGGACUGGCUGAAGCCCAGCCUUGUCCAAAGGGACAUUUUUGCUUGGGUGGAAGUUCCCUGCCUCUCCCUUGUCCAGUGGGAAUGUAUACAGAUAUGCUUGGGGCAGGUUCAUGUAAGCCCUGCCCAGCAGGCAGGUACUGCAGCAUGGCAGGUCUGACUGAGCCAGAAGGACCUUGCCAGCCUGGAUAUUACUGCAGCCAAGGAUCCAGCAGCUCCUCACCUGUGAGUACUCAUUACCUUGUGUUACUGCAGACCAUUAGGCACUACAGGAGAUUUCAUGGGCUGUAUCAAUCUCAUUUCCUUUGCUUCAGGUGGGCCUUUUGUUUGGAGAUCUUUGUCAACCAGGAUAUUACUGCCCUGCUGGCACGACGCACCCAAAAGAGAUGGCAUGUCCUGCUGGCACCUGGAAUGGCCAGAGGGGAGCCCAGGAUGCCACUUGGUGUCUUCCUUGUCCUCCUGGGUUCUUCUGCAGUAUGUCUGGCCAAGAUGCUCCUGUAGGACUUUGUGCACAAGGUGAGACAAAACCAGAACUUUUUAGCUACUCAGAAAUUCAGGGGGGUUUUUUGCAUGACAGAGAGGACUUGUAUGCUUUCUUCUUCAAGGUUACUACUGCACAGGAGGGGCAAAGACUGCAAAGCCAGAGGAUGGUGUCACUGGAGAUGUCUGCCCUCGAGGACAUUUCUGCCCUGCAGGUUCAGCAGCACCUUCUCCCUGCCCCAGUGGUGAAUACAGCAAUGCAACAGGUCAGCAAUUGGAUCUUCGCAGCCUCACUGUGGCUUGGGAAAGCUAGAAGCAAAUCCUGUUUUUUGUCUGCAUCCAAGAAUAGCAGUUGCUAGCUGCUAACUGUUACAAGCAUUCAGUAUUUUUCUUGGGACAGAGGAAAGGGAUUCUUGGUUGUUUUUUUCCUUCCUUUUAUUCCUCUGAUGCCACGUGGAGGGUACAAUUCACACCCAUAGCACGCAGGUCAAAUGGGGUUGUAGCAGUGACACUAAGUGAGCAAUUAACUCAGUUUCCUCGCUGUUCUGCCUGCCACCUACCGGUGUGAUGUGAGGUUACUGGGACUCGGGCUGGAGUGGAUUUGAGAAACUUGCUGGAUGGAUCUCACCAGUCGUUGCCAGGGGGCUUGCAGAAUAACUGUUGCAUCUGCUGCUUUCUUUAAGUGCACAGCUUGGUAGAAGAAAGAUGUCUGUGUGGCAUCUUCUUCCAGUUCAUGACUUAUUUCCUCUGUAGGUCAAGACAAAUGUUUUCCAUGUCCUGCUGGGUUCCACUGUCCUAAAGGACUGCGGCGCCGCUGCCCUCCUGGCUUCUAUUGCCCUCAGAGAACAGGAAUCAGUUUUUAUCCUUGUCCCCCUGGGACUUUCAACCCCUCUUACGGACUCAGCCAGGCUGAGAGGUGCCAGAAGUGCCCAGCAGGUGAGGAGAUGGCUGAGUACUCUCAUUGUCUACAUGGAGCAGCAUCAGAGGGUGAUCUCUGUGUAUCUCUUCUCCUAAUCCACUG
Molecule: long non-coding RNA, 1873 nt
Filed under: Phasianus colchicus (ring-necked pheasant)
Lineage: Eukaryota; Metazoa; Chordata; Aves; Galliformes; Phasianidae
Description: lncRNA (ENSPCLG00000009817.1)
Source: RNAcentral